CAGUCGCCGCGGGAAUACGUAGGGUGCAAGCGUUAAUCGGAAUUACUGGGCGUAAAGGGCGUGUAGGCGGCCUGGGGCGUCCCAUGUGAAAGGCCACGGCUCAACCGUGGAGGAGCGUGGGAUACGCUCAGGCUAGAGGGUGGGAGAGGGUGGUGGAAUUCCCGGAGUAGCGGUGAAAUGCGCAGAUACCGGGAGGAACGCCGAUGGCGAAGGCAGCCACCUGGUCCACUUCUGACGCUGAGGCGCGAAAGCGUGGGGAGCAGACAGGAUUAGAUACCCGAGUAGUCCCUGUCUCUUAUAC
This 301-nucleotide ribosomal RNA is filed under the name uncultured bacterium. RNAcentral's name for it is "partial 16S ribosomal RNA". It matches the Rfam family "Bacterial small subunit ribosomal RNA", at positions 509 to 807 of the family's 1533-position model. The record is from RNAcentral.